CUGCCUCUUUCAAAAGCAGCUCUUCUGGUAAUUUUUUGGUUUACAUAUUGCUGGAGCCAGGCUUACAGAAUUUUAAGCAUAACCUUGAUAGUUUGUGAACUGAGUACAGUAAUGUUCAGUAAUUUGAACAUUCUUUGGCUUUGUCCUUUAGGAUUAGGACAUAAACUGGUCUUUUUCAAUCCAGGAGACGCUGUUGAGUUUUCCAAAUUUGCUGAAAUAUUGAGUAUACUACAGAAUUGCCUCUUGGAGUUUUAAAUUGCUUAAUUGGGAUUCCAUCACCUCCACUAACAUUGCUAACAGUGCUCCCUAAGCCCCACUUACCUGGCUGUAGAUCAGCAACCACACAUUCUGCCAUUCUCAUCCAUAUGGAAGCACAGGACAAAGCAUAGGAAAAUAGAUUUAGAAUUAGACAAGGCCUCAAGGACAUCAAGACUAAUUCUCUUCAUUUUUGAGAUGUGGAGAGACACAUAUAGGUAUCAGCACCAUAUCUCUGUCAUAAAUGGAUUUUGCUUAUCCUGUUGUAUCAGCUUAUCCUGUUUCUACUAACCUCCAACAAAAUGGUUUGCAGUUUCCACGAGCUAGAUCUGUAUUUGCCUAAAGAGAAAAAGGAAGCUUGAAAUCAUUUCAUACAGAAGUACCUGGACACAACAGCAUCCUCCCUUUCAAUGAAAACAAAACAAUACAAAUGGCAGAGGGGGAAUUCAUCUGGAGCUACUUUUAUCACUCAGAUACUGCAGGAUCAUUUUGAGUUGUAUUCUAAGAACCAUGAAUUAUCCCCCUUAGACCAAAGCUUGAAGGUAACCUGUGAAUUGAGGAUGUCAAAAAGUUGGUAGUAGACUGGUAAUAAAAAU
Long non-coding RNA from Sarcophilus harrisii (Tasmanian devil), 851 nucleotides. RefSeq lists it as uncharacterized. Lineage: Eukaryota; Metazoa; Chordata; Mammalia; Dasyuromorphia; Dasyuridae. The transcript has 6 exons. The record is from RefSeq and is a predicted model, not a curated record.